Molecule: ribosomal RNA, 460 nt
Filed under: uncultured bacterium
Lineage: Bacteria
Description: partial 16S ribosomal RNA
Rfam family: Bacterial small subunit ribosomal RNA
Source: RNAcentral
CCUACGGGUGGCAGCAGUGAGGAAUAUUGGUCAAUGGGCGGAAGCCUGAACCAGCCAAGUAGCGUGCAGGAUGACGGCCCUACGGGUUGUAAACUGCUUUUAUACGGGAAUAACGCGCCUUACGUGUAGGGCUUUGCAUGUACCGUAUGAAUAAGGACCGGCUAAUUCCGUGCCAGCCGCCCCGGGAAUACGGAAGGUCCGGGCGUUAUCCGGAUUUAUUGGGUUUAAAGGGAGCGUAGGCCGCAUGUCAAGCGUGCUGUGAAAUGUCCGGGCGCAACCCGGGCCUUGCAGCGCGAACUGGCGUGCUUGAGUCCGCGGAAGGCAGGCGGAAUUCGUGGUGUAGCGGUGAAAUGCUUAGAUAUGACGAAGAACCCCGAUGGCGAAGGCAGCUUGCUGCAGCGGAACUGACGCUGAGGCGCGAAAGCGCGGGUAUCGAACAGGAUUAGAUACCCUUGUAGUC